This 253-nucleotide ribosomal RNA is filed under the name uncultured prokaryote. RNAcentral describes it as "partial 16S ribosomal RNA". It matches the Rfam family "Bacterial small subunit ribosomal RNA", at positions 525 to 777 of the family's 1533-position model. The record is from RNAcentral.
ACGUAGGGUGCGAGCGUUAAUCGGAAUUACUGGGCGUAAAGCGUGCGCAGGCGGUUUUGUAAGCCAGAUGUGAAAUCCCCGGGCUUAACCUGGGAAUGGCAUUUGGGACUGCAAGGCUGGAGUGUGGCAGAGGAGACUGGAAUUCCUGGUGUAGCAGUGAAAUGCGUAGAGAUCGGAAGGAACAUCUGUGGCGAAGGCGACUAUCUGGGCCAACACUGACACUGAGGCACGAAAGCGUGGGGAGCAAACAGGA